RNAcentral lists this ribosomal RNA (458 nucleotides) under uncultured bacterium. RNAcentral's name for it is "partial 16S ribosomal RNA". It matches the Rfam family "Bacterial small subunit ribosomal RNA", at positions 338 to 795 of the family's 1533-position model. The record is from RNAcentral.
CCUACGGGUGGCAGCAGUGAGGAAUAUUGGUCAAUGGGCGAGAGCCUGAACCAGCCAAGUCGCGUGAGGGAGUACUGCCCUAUGGGUUGUAAACCUCUUUUGUCGGGGAGCAAAAGCCGGACGUGUCCGGCUGUGAGAGUACCCGAAGAAAAAGCAUCGGCUAACUCCGUGCCCGCAGCCGCGGUAAUACGGGGGAUGCGAGCGUUAUCCGGAUUUAUUGGGUUUAAAGGGUGCGCAGGCGGAUUUUUAAGUCAGCGGUCAAAUCGUGGGGCUCAACCCCAUCCAGCCGUUGAAACUGGGGAGCUAGAGUGUGGGAGAGGUAUGCGGAAUGCGUGGUGUAGCGGUGAAAUGCAUAGAUAUCACGCAGAACCCCGAUUGCGAAGGCAGCAUACCGGUGCACAACUGACGCUCAGGCACGAAAGCGUGGGUAUCGAACAGGAUUAGAUACCCCGGUAGUC